Molecule: ribosomal RNA, 543 nt
Filed under: Xenograpsus testudinatus
Lineage: Eukaryota; Metazoa; Arthropoda; Malacostraca; Decapoda; Xenograpsidae
Description: partial large subunit ribosomal RNA
Rfam family: Archaeal large subunit ribosomal RNA
Source: RNAcentral
CUCUGUUUGAAGGUAUAAAGAGUAUAACCUGCUCACUGAUAAAAGUUUAAGAGCCGCAGUAUUUUGACUGUGCAAAGGUAGCAUAAUCGUUUGUUUUUUAAUUGGAAUCUUGUAUGAAUGGUUGGACAAGAGAAAAACUGUCUUUAUAAGAAAAAUUGAAUUUAACUUUUAGAUGAAAAGGUCUAAAUAAAUUAAAGGGACGAUAAGACCCUAUAAAGCUUAAUAUAAAAGUUAGUUAAUUAAAUUUUAUUAAAAUAAAAAUGAAUUAAUUUAAUAUAUUUUGUUGGGGCGACAGAGGUAAAAUUAUUAUUAACUACUUAAAUAAGAUUCAAAUAUAAGUGUAAUUUUAAAAGAUCCUAGUUAAAGAUUUAAAGUUUAAGUUACUUUAGGGAUAACAGCGUUAUUUUUUUUGAGAGUACUUAUCGAGAAAAAAGUUUGCGACCUCGAUGUUGAAUUAAAAUAUCUUUAUAAUUGCAGAAGUUAUAAAAGAAGGUCUGUUCGACCUUUAAAUUUUUACAUGAUUUGAGUUCAGACCGGCGUGAG